GGAGAUUCACGUCUUCUCGCAGGUUCUGACGCAUCCGCUCCUYUCCGACGGCCUUGCCCCCGUCCGGACUCGUCCGGCGCGUGGCGGUGGGGUUGCANAGGGCGGUGUGGAGGCCCGCGGCGGACCGCACUUCUCCCUUAGUAGGACGUCGUGACCCGUCCGGCCAUGGUCUUACGGUCGCAGGGUGGAGCCUGUCCGUUCGUGUUUUACGACACGUCUUCGGGCAGACCCCCGCGUCCCGGCCAUGGGCAACACGCCGGUCGGUAUCGAAUGACGGUGUUCGGCCUCUCACCGGCGGAGGAAACUCCUGCCAGUGAGCGCGACUGCGGCCCUUGACAAGGUGCCGGGAUGCCAGUCAAGUCGGGCUUCCGUCCGUCUGGCUGCUYUCGGCCCUGUUGGUCUUGGUGCUCUCUCGCCGGCCUAUCCACACUUGUCUACGGCGAAUCAGUUUUGGGCUCUUGUCCGACCCGUCUUGAAACACGGACCAAGGAGUUCAGCGUGUACGCGAGUCAUUGGGUGGUAAAACCCAAAGGCGAAAUGAAAGUGAAGGGAACUUCGCGUUUCUGAGGGAGGAUGAGUCGGUUACCCGCAAGGGGCCACUCCGCACUCCCGGGGCGUCUCUUUCUCACUGCGAGUGGAGGCGCACCCAGAGCGUACACGCUGAUACCCGAAAGAUGGUGAACUAUGCCUGGCCAGGACGAAGCCAGGGGAAACCCUGGUGGAGGUCCGCAGCGAUUCUGACGUGCAAAUCGAUCGUCGGAGCUGG
RNAcentral lists this ribosomal RNA (766 nucleotides) under Compsidolon schrenkianum. Its description in RNAcentral is "partial large subunit ribosomal RNA". The stretch from base 484 to 766 matches the Rfam family "Eukaryotic large subunit ribosomal RNA", at positions 665 to 914 of the family's 3401-position model. Lineage: Eukaryota; Metazoa; Arthropoda; Insecta; Hemiptera; Miridae. The record is from RNAcentral.